GACGAACGCUGGCGGCGUGCUUAACACAUGCAAGUCGAACGGUGAACCUCUUCGUAGUGGAUCAGUGGUGAAUGGGUGAGUAACACGUGGGCAACCUGUCCCCGUCUCUGGGAUAACUCCAAGAAAUUGGGGCUAAUACCGGAUGUUCACCGCUUCCCGCACGGUUGGUUGUGGAAGGGUUUUCUGGCUGGGGUUGGGCCGGGGGCCCAUCCGCUUGUUGGUGGGGUAGGGGACUACCAAGGCGACGACGGGUAGCCUGCCUGGGAGGGUGACCGGACACGCUGGGACUGAGACACGGCACAGACUCGUACGGGAGGCAGGGGUGGGGAAGAUAGCGCAAGGGGAGGAGGCAUGGCGCAACGAAGCCGCGUGGGGGAUGACGGCCUUCGGUUUGUAAACCUAAUUCAGCAGGGACGAAGCGAUAGUGACGGUACCGGGAGAAGAAGCACCGGCCAACUACGUG
RNAcentral lists this ribosomal RNA (463 nucleotides) under uncultured bacterium. RNAcentral's name for it is "partial 16S ribosomal RNA". It matches the Rfam family "Bacterial small subunit ribosomal RNA", at positions 28 to 507 of the family's 1533-position model. The record is from RNAcentral.